Molecule: long non-coding RNA, 804 nt
Organism: Myotis davidii
Lineage: Eukaryota; Metazoa; Chordata; Mammalia; Chiroptera; Vespertilionidae
Exons: 2
Source: RefSeq, a predicted model, not a curated record
CACUAUUUAAAAAGUAGAAAAAUGCAGUCACAGUUUUGUCUCAGUUUCUCCACCUUUUUCCCUUUUCCGUCUGUUUAGAUUUAGUGGGAACCAAGAUGAGAGGCAUUAAGAAGGGAGAACAGAUGGAGACAACUAGAAAAUCAGGAGAGGACAGGUCCCUUGGGUCUGUGAAGGGUGAGUAUGAAAAGCAGCUCAGGACAGCCAUAUGGCCGCUGGGCUCAGUCACCAGGAAGAACUGUGAUUCCUUUCACCAUCUGCAGCUCAAUUUGCAUUCUAACUCAGCUCCUGGCCUCCUGAGAGGAAAAUGCCCUGUCAUGGGAACAUUAUAGAACAUUCUAGGUGGGGUAAGAUAGGGAGAGGACAGAAUGUUUGCACACACCAGAGCAUUAGAAAACAGACUCCCUCCUAUCUAGAAAGGGAACAGGGGAGGCAGGCACAGCAAGGGAGAAGAAAAACACAGGCCUGGCUUCCAGAAGCUGAUCCACAAACAGUAGGCUCUGUUACCUGUCCUGUUCUGGCUCUGGCCCCCUCCCAGAAACCCAGAGAAACCUCAAUGGAAAAGUCAAGUAAGGAGAUACCUGGCUCAGGGAGUGGAGGAACCAGUACAUUCACUUGGAAUCACGCGUCGAAGGAUCUGUGUUGGACACAGAAGGAAGUAGGUAGGUUUGGUGCUGGGCUGAGCUGGAGGGAGCGGAGGAGCACACACAUGACCCGCAGUGGGGUCCACAGAGGCUGAGGCAGGACAAGUGAAUGGAGCAGUGGCCCCACCAGUACGUUUCCUGAAAUAAAGUCCUGAGGAGGGAA